CGACCGCGGCUGUGCCAGCUGUGCUGCGCAGUGCUGGGACGACGCGAGUCCCGCAACCAUAGCAAACGCCUUACGAUGAAUCGGAUACUCGUGAAGAGACAGCAAGGGCUUCGCGAGACGCUGUGCGCACACUUCUCGCUGCCGAAAGCCGUCUCGUUCAGGACGCAUUGAAGCGGACACAGCCUGCAGCGAAGAACAACACGACGGACAUUGCUCUACUCCACUCGUGGGAAAAGAUAUGCUCGUGUUGACAAAACCACCAUUUGGAGAGCGUAGUAUAAUUGGAAAUCGACACGGUUCAGCUACUAACAGAAUGAGACCAGGAGCACUCAUGCAAAUCCCUUAACACCAGCAGGGGAGGAAUAUCUGAAGAAGAUUUCUUAGGCCUAAGUGACAAGGAGCUCCUCGAGGGGUUUCAGGAUCAAGACGUCAUAAAGGUACUGCUCCGAUCAACCACAAGCAAACCAGUUUUCGAACUACAGCCUGAUGACUUAUCAGCUCAGUUUUUGCCGGACGGUGAACCUUUGUUCAACUGCUCGACAUGGGAAUCAAGCGACAUUGACCAAAAUGACGGAAAUCAACGAAUGUGCCUCGCAGCUGAAAUUGGCCGCUGCCGGUCAACCAACCGUGGACUGAUCGCACAGACGACUGCAGCCUACAAAUAGCACAGAUCUUCACUCGGCGCUUGGGGCAUGGAACCGGUGCAGAUAUGACUGCACUGCUUACGCUUACGCUGUUAUUUCUGCAGGCUGACCACCAAAACAGUGUGAAUCUGGGUCCUCAGGAGCUUGAAUGCCACCAGGUACCAAUGCUCUGCUCGUUGUGGACAAGUACGACGAAGACAGCACCUGCCUUUGUGCAAUACUUCUGAAUGCUUCUUCAUUGUGACCAAUGCAAAACUGUUGUGCAAUUUAACCUUUGUUUACUUCACUAAAAUAAUAAAUGAGCCCAACAAUUACAAGAGCAAGCCUGGAAGUGUGGAGACUUCAUAUUACUACUUUGACUAAAAAAUAAUAAAAAUAUAGUUUUUUAAUGCAGGAAGUUCUUGCUUUGGUUUAUUCCAAAACAAGCCAACUGCAUCUCUUAAAGG
Rhipicephalus sanguineus (brown dog tick) is the source of this 1090-nucleotide long non-coding RNA. RefSeq lists it as uncharacterized. The transcript is spliced from 5 exons. NCBI's taxonomy places the organism in Eukaryota, Metazoa, Arthropoda, Arachnida, Ixodida, Ixodidae. The record is from RefSeq and is a predicted model, not a curated record.